RNAcentral lists this unclassified non-coding RNA (147 nucleotides) under soil metagenome. Its description in RNAcentral is "partial internal transcribed spacer 1". The record is from RNAcentral.
UAAUAAGUGUUUUAUGCGCACUUUUUAAUCCAUAUCCACCUUGUGUGCAAAUGUCGGUCGAUCUUCUUUUUUGAGGAUCGACCAAACAUCAACCUUUAUUUUUUAACUCUUGUCUGAAAAAAUAUUAUGAAUAAACAAUUCAAAAUA